AUGAACCACUUCGGUGGGGAUUAGUGGCGAACGGGUGAGUAACACGUGGGCAAUCUGCCCUGCACUCUGGGACAAGCCCUGGAAACGGGGUCUAAUACCGGAUACGACCAUCUUGGGCAUCCUUGAUGGUGGAAAGCUCCGGCGGUGCAGGAUGAGCCCGCGGCCUAUCAGCUUGUUGGUGAGGUAAUGGCUCACCAAGGCGACGACGGGUAGCCGGCCUGAGAGGGCGACCGGCCACACUGGGACUGAGACACGGCCCAGACUCCUACGGGAGGCAGCAGUGGGGAAUAUUGCACAAUGGGCGAAAGCCUGAUGCAGCGACGCCGCGUGAGGGAUGACGGCCUUCGGGUUGUAAACCUCUUUCAGCAGGGAAGAAGCGAAAGUGACGGUACCUGCAGAAGAAGCGCCGGCUAACUACGUGCCAGCAGCCGCGGUAAUACGUAGGGCGCAAGCGUUGUCCGGAAUUAUUGGGCGUAAAGAGCUCGUAGGCGGCUUGUCACGUCGGUUGUGAAAGCCCGGGGCUUAACCCCGGGUCUGCAGUCGAUACGGGCAGGCUAGAGUUCGGUAGGGGAGAUCGGAAUUCCUGGUGUAGCGGUGAAAUGCGCAGAUAUCAGGAGGAACACCGGUGGCGAAGGCGGAUCUCUGGGCCGAUACUGACGCUGAGGAGCGAAAGCGUGGGGAGCGAACAGGAUUAGAUACCCUGGUAGUCCACGCCGUAAACGGUGGGCACUAGGUGUGGGCAACAUUCCACGUUGUCCGUGCCGCAGCUAACGCAUUA
RNAcentral lists this ribosomal RNA (778 nucleotides) under bacterium. Its description in RNAcentral is "bacterial SSU rRNA". It matches the Rfam family "Bacterial small subunit ribosomal RNA", at positions 69 to 862 of the family's 1533-position model. The record is from RNAcentral.